Molecule: long non-coding RNA, 211 nt
Filed under: Vitis vinifera (wine grape)
Lineage: Eukaryota; Viridiplantae; Streptophyta; Magnoliopsida; Vitales; Vitaceae
Description: long non-coding RNA (VVIN_LNC006124)
Source: RNAcentral
GAAGCUCCCGUGUCAGGAUGGAGAUUUCCAAGCCAUAAAUGUAAGUAGCUGAGCGUCAUAAAUGUUUUCAUUCAAAGUAAAGCUUUUAAUCCCUCUAACUUGCUUUGAAUGGCCAAUACUUGAUAACCUUUUGGUCUCAGUGGAUUCUUAUUGUUAGAUCCACUGACGUUCAUUAGUUAUCUCCUACGAGACAUUGUAUUGCAAGUCGAGG